GACGAACGCUGGCGGCGUGCUUAACACAUGCAAGUCGAACGAUGAAGCCGGAGCUUGCUCUGGUGAAUUAGUGGCGAACGGGUGAGUAACACGUGAGUAACCUGCCCUUGACUCUGGGAUAACUGCGGGAAACUGUAGCUAAUACCGGAUACGACCCUCGGAGGCAUCUCCUGGGGGUGGAAAGAAUUUCGGUCAAGGAUGGACUCGCGGCCUAUCAGCUAGUUGGUGAGGUAAAGGCUCACCAAGGCGACGACGGGUAGCCGGCCUGAGAGGGCGACCGGCCACACUGGGGCUGCGCCACGACCCGGACACCUACGCGAGGCAGCAGUCGGGAAGAUUGGACAAUGGGCGCAAGCCUGACUCAGCAACGCCGCGUGAGUGAUGACGGCCUUCGGGUUGUAAACCUCUUUUGGUAGGCAAGAAGCGAAAGUGACGGUACCUGCAGAAAAAGCACCGGCUAGCUACGUGCCAGCAGCCGCGGUAA
This 484-nucleotide ribosomal RNA is filed under the name uncultured bacterium. RNAcentral's name for it is "partial 16S ribosomal RNA". It matches the Rfam family "Bacterial small subunit ribosomal RNA", at positions 28 to 523 of the family's 1533-position model. The record is from RNAcentral.